RNAcentral lists this non-coding RNA (30 nucleotides) under Rattus norvegicus (Norway rat). The record is from RNAcentral. Lineage: Eukaryota; Metazoa; Chordata; Mammalia; Rodentia; Muridae.
CACCUACAUUUCAGGUCUCACCCUCCUGCU